UACGAGGGGUGCAAGCGUUAUUCGGAAUUAUUGGGCGUAAAGGGUGCGUAGGUGGUGCACUAAGUCAACUGUUAAAUUCCUCGGCCUAACCGAGGGUCAGCGGUAGAUACUGGUGUGCUAGAGGGUGGAAGAGAGAAGUGGAAUUCUCGGAGUAGCGGUAAAAUGCGUAGAUCUCGAGAGGAACACCAAUGGCGAAGGCAGCUUCUUGGUCCAACCCUGACAAUGAGGCACGAAAGAGUGGGGAGCAAACAGG
RNAcentral lists this ribosomal RNA (253 nucleotides) under uncultured bacterium. RNAcentral describes it as "partial 16S ribosomal RNA". It matches the Rfam family "Bacterial small subunit ribosomal RNA", at positions 524 to 776 of the family's 1533-position model. The record is from RNAcentral.